UUAAAAUUACAUUGAACUGUUAUUCUUUUUCUUUGACCUCAUUUUUUAAAAAUUAUUUUCAUUAGUUUCAUGGUAAACUAAAUGUAGAAACAAAUUUCUACUUUCAUGGUUGACUAUUAUCAAGCAUAGUACUUAUGUGUUGGUCCAAAAAGGUAUUAUAGCACAUAUGCAAAGUCUCAACAUAAUCAUAUCAGUGUCUGCAAAUCAUGAAUUUGGACAUUGCAUAUCAAAAGGUACAUUGUUCCAGAUAUUGAUCAAAAGGUACAGUUUCCAUAUUAGUGACUUGGUUGUUCUUUUUUAAUAAAAAGAUUGUACUUACAUUAUCUACCUUAGGAAUAUUCAGCGUGAAAAACUGACUAUGUCCCUUUAUAUUCAACACAUCAUCCAACAAAAUGUUUAUUUUAUUGAACUUCUCUUCAAUGUGUAAACAAACAAAACAAUAAGUGUAUGUAUAAACUUUUGGAAACAUAACAGCAAGUGUAUGCAUAACAUCAAGUGUAUGCAUAAGCAAACAUAAACAAAUGGCUGCAAAUCUAUCAACAAAUGCAAGAAGAAAAAGGAAGAGCAUUGUGUCAACAAAGAUUUCAAAUAUGAUGAUGAACUCCUCAAGUAAAAUAAAUUUUUUUUCUCAUUUCAUUUGUUCUUAAAACUUCUUGCCAAUAAAUACAUUUACUUAUCUCCAAUAGAAUAACAUAAACAUUCAGAUGUACAUUUACCAACACAGUUUUUUAUUUUGUUUUCUUCACUGUAGAUACCAAUCAGGACAAAUCCAUUCACACUGAAGCAUUUUGUUCUGGAAAUACUACACCUUUUUCUCAUUAUACAGAUUUUGUAUGGAAUGAAAAUAUUACCCCAAAUUCAACUAUCAACAACUCCUUUACUGUCAGUGAAGAUAGAAAACUGCAUGAUCAAGCAAUUCAAUCUUCAAAUAGAAAGCCAUUGUUGGAGUUGACAUGUCGUGACAUUGACCAACUUAAUUAUAAGAAUGCACGAACAAGAAGGAAAGUUAUUAGGAAUCAGAAGAUUGCAGAAAAAAGUAUUAUCAUGCCUGAUAAAUCUAAUAUUAUUUUAUCUUUAUUUCAAUUCCUUUAAUAGUUUUUGUAUUACUAAUAUUUACUAGCAUUUCAUGUAAAGAAAUUCAUGGUUCUACCUCCAUUGGAUAUGGAAUUGUUGGUAAUUCAAUUAAAAUCACCAAUGGUCCAAUUUUGCACAAAACCAACAUUAACA
This is a long non-coding RNA of Vigna unguiculata (cowpea), 1227 nucleotides long. RefSeq lists it as uncharacterized. The record is from RefSeq and is a predicted model, not a curated record. NCBI's taxonomy places the organism in Eukaryota, Viridiplantae, Streptophyta, Magnoliopsida, Fabales, Fabaceae.